AGGUUUCCGUAGGUGAUCCUGCGGAAGGAUCAUUAUUGAAAUAAACCUGAUGGGUUGCUGCUGGUUCUCUAGGGAGCAUGUGCACGCUUGUCAUCUUUAUAUCUCCACCUGUGCACCUUUUGUAGACCUGGAUCUUUUUCUGAAUGCCUAGCAUUUAGGUUUGGGGAUUGACUUUUUGUCUUUCCUUGCAUUUUCAGGCCUAUGUUUCUUCAUAUACCCAUGUAUGUUAUAGAAUGUAGUAAAUGGGCCUUUGUGCCUAUAAACCUAUACAACUUUCAGCAACGGAUCUCUUGGCUCUCGCAUCGAUGAAGAACGCAGCGAAAUGCGAUAAGUAAUGUGAAUUGCAGAAUUCAGUGAAUCAUCGAAUCUUUGAACGCACCUUACGCUCCUUGGUAUUCCGAGGAGCAUGCCUGUUUGAGUGUCAUUAAUAUAUCAGCCUCUUCAGCUUUUGCUUGUUGAGCGUUGGAUGUGGGGGUUUCUUUUGCUGGCCUCUUCUGAGGUCGGCUCCCCUGAAAUGCAUUAGCGAAACAUUCUGUUGACCGUUCAUUGGUGUGAUAACUAUCUACGCUAUUGACGUGAAGCAGGUUUGGCUUCUAACAGUCCAUUGACUUGGACAAUUUUUCAUUAAUGUGACCUCAAAUCAGGUAGGACUACCCGCUGAACUAAGC
This 668-nucleotide ribosomal RNA is filed under the name uncultured fungus. RNAcentral describes it as "eukaryotic LSU rRNA". The stretch from base 271 to 424 matches the Rfam family "5.8S ribosomal RNA". The record is from RNAcentral. Lineage: Eukaryota; Fungi.